RNAcentral lists this ribosomal RNA (253 nucleotides) under uncultured bacterium. RNAcentral's name for it is "partial 16S ribosomal RNA". It matches the Rfam family "Bacterial small subunit ribosomal RNA", at positions 524 to 776 of the family's 1533-position model. The record is from RNAcentral.
UACGAAGGGUGCAAGCGUUACUCGGAAUUACUGGGCGUAAAGGGUGCGUAGGUGGUUUUUUAAGUCCGUUGUGAAAUCCCUGGGCUCAACCUGGGAAUUGCAGUGGAUACUGGCAGGCUGGAGUACGGUAGAGGAAGGUGGAAUUCCCGGUGUAGCAGUGAAAUGCGUAGAUAUCGGGAGGAACACCAGUGGCGAAGGCGGCCUUCUGGACCAGUACUGACGCUCAUGCACGAAAGCGUGGGGAGCAAACAGG